Molecule: long non-coding RNA, 207 nt
Filed under: Homo sapiens (human)
Lineage: Eukaryota; Metazoa; Chordata; Mammalia; Primates; Hominidae
Description: HSALNT0153095
Source: RNAcentral
UGGACUCUGUCCUGUCAGACUGUUCUUCGUGAAUUGAGUCCAGUUCUAAGCUGGGAUUUACUGUUUCUGGGAACUUGUAAUGGAUGAUUGGGGGAAACAGAAAUAUGUAGGCAAGAAGGGAAAAGAUUUGGUGAAAUUGGGUCACUCUUUUGCCCUAUGGCAAAAAGAACUAUUCUCCCAAAGACAGAUCUAGAGAGAGGAGGGGGG